RNAcentral lists this unclassified non-coding RNA (377 nucleotides) under uncultured Gammaproteobacteria bacterium. RNAcentral describes it as "contains 16S-23S intergenic spacer region". The record is from RNAcentral. Lineage: Bacteria; Pseudomonadati; Pseudomonadota; Gammaproteobacteria.
UCCCCGUUAUCCGGGGCGGUUUCUUUAGAGUGCCCAACUAAAUGAUGGCAACUAAUGGCAAGGGUUGCGCUCGUUGCGGGACUUAACCCAACAUCUCACGACACGAGCUGACGACAGCCAUGCAGCACCUGUGUCCAGGUUCCCUUUCGGGCACACCCCCAUCUCUGGAGGCUUCCUGGCAUGUCAAGGGUAGGUAAGGUUUUUCGCGUUGCAUCGAAUUAAUCCACAUAAUCCACCGCUUGUGCGGGUCCCCGUCAAUUCCUUUGAGUUUUAACCUUGCGGCCGUACUCCCCAGGCGGUCAACUUCACGCGUUAGCUUCGUUACCAAGGAAUUGCUUCCCCGACAACCAGUUGACAUAGUUUAGGGCGUGGACUAC